GUGGGGAAUCUUAGACAAUGGGGGAAAACCUGAUCUAGCCAUGCCGCGUGAUCGAUGAAGGCCUUAGGGUUGUAAAGAUCUUUCAGCUGGGAAGAUAAUGACGGUACCAGCAGAAGAAGCCCCGGCUAACUCCGUGCCAGCAGCCGCGGUAAUACGGAGGGGGCUAGCGUUGUUCGGAAUUACUGGGCGUAAAGCGCACGUAGGCGGAUUGGAAAGUUGGGGGUGAAAUCCCGGGGCUCAACCCCGGAACUUCCUUCAAAACUCCCAGUAUUGAGGUCGAGAGAGGUGAGUGGAAUUCCGAGUGUAGAGGUGAAAUUCGUAGAUAUUCGGAGGAACACCAGUGGCGAAGGCGGCUCACUGGCUCGAUACUGACGCUGAGGUGCGAAAGCGUGGGGAGCAAACAGGAUUAGAAACCCUGGUAGUCC
This 425-nucleotide ribosomal RNA is filed under the name uncultured bacterium. RNAcentral's name for it is "partial 16S ribosomal RNA". It matches the Rfam family "Bacterial small subunit ribosomal RNA", at positions 354 to 796 of the family's 1533-position model. The record is from RNAcentral.